Long non-coding RNA from Hirundo rustica (Barn swallow), 716 nucleotides. RefSeq lists it as uncharacterized. The record is from RefSeq and is a predicted model, not a curated record. The transcript has 3 exons. NCBI's taxonomy places the organism in Eukaryota, Metazoa, Chordata, Aves, Passeriformes, Hirundinidae.
AGAUGGCGCCGGCGGAAGUGGACGUGCGUGCGUCCUUCUAGCCGUUCUACCCUUUUCCCCUUCUCCUUCCCCCCUCUCCUCCGAUUCUUCCCGAGUCGGGAGGAGCGGAGGGGGGGUGGACAGCCAGCCAGUGCAGCCAACGGCAACGGCACCGCCCCUAGAGGUGAAGCUGGAGGGCAGAGCUUCCCAUCGAACGGGCGGAGAGGGGCCUCCCACCAAGGGGGCGGCACCUCUGCCACUCUCAGAGGGUGUUUUUCCUACUUCAUGAAGGAACCUUUUCCCAGUGCGCCAGAGACAUUCUUCCCCUAUCACUGGGUAACUUUAUGAUGCCUGUAUCCCCAAUCGUCUGUUCUGUUUGUGCUGUACAUUAAGUCCUGUGCCUUUAAGACUGGUUCUAAGAGCAAGGAGAAGCGCGGAGUUUGUUUUGAGAAAACUGCCUGACUCCUCCACAUUCUUCUGUGGACAGCGUGUUCGGCGGAGGCUUGGAGAGACGGCAGGACAGAGAUCUUGUUUUGCUUUUAGUUAGUUUCAGCUAGCUAGGGCAGAGAAGUUCCCUGGACUGUUUUUUUUCCUUUUUCUUGGAACUGUUUAAACCUGCUCUGGACUGAAAACCCAGGGGAGCACUGGGGGCUGCACCUGCGGCCCACCGGGGCCUGGACCUCGGCAUUUUCCAGCAGCGCCGGAGAGACUGGGACUGAGGAGAGUCCGAGAGAGAG